This 501-nucleotide unclassified non-coding RNA is filed under the name Hevea brasiliensis (rubber tree). Lineage: Eukaryota; Viridiplantae; Streptophyta; Magnoliopsida; Malpighiales; Euphorbiaceae. The record is from RNAcentral.
GUAACCUUUAAGGACUGGUGGUUUUGGCUUCAGAAUUGUGUAGCCUAUCCGGACCUCUUUGAAGUAAAGUAUGUAAGUCUCCUUUGCAGGCACAUUUGGAAGGCCAGAAAUGAAGCUAUUGUUAAUGCAGUAACACCAAAUCCUACACAUAUUCUCUUAAAGGCUUAUAAUGAAUUUGAGGAUCUACGACAGAUAGCUCUUCCACAACGGCAUUCUUUGCUUAUCCCUCAAGGUUCUCCUAUUCUUAGCCUCUCAAGAUGGUCUCCACCUAAUGCUAGUUCUCUGAAAUCAAUGUCAAUGCAUCCUAUGACUAUCAAUCUACUUCAGCAGAUAUCGGGGUUACUAUCAGAAACUCUCAAGGUUGCUUAAUUGAUAGUUUGUCAUCAUCUUUCCCUAGCCUAUCCCCCUCGGCAGCGGAAGGAUAUGCAGUUCGUGUAGGAAUCUCUUAUGCAAGCAGCAAGGAUCUUUGGCCUUGUGUUGUGGAGACGGAUACUUGGCAGU